CAAAGACGCCCAGUGUCUCUCCCGUGCAGCCGGUGCGGUGCCAAAACGUGUUUUCCACUAAAGACCGUCAGUAUGGGAGGGGGCUGCAGUGGUACCUUAAGGACUCCCAUGAGGACCAGCAGUGUGGAGGUGAUGAUGUAAGCCUGGAGAGCUGAACUGGAGAGAAGCUUCCUCAACAGCAUAUCUGUGGGAGAGAGACACAUUUAUUACAUCUUAUAGAAGAGAGAAGCCAAGUGGUACAAGAGCUAUUGCCUAUUUCAUCCUCAAAGUACCAUCUUAGUACUAACCGAAGGUUUCCAGGACUGUAGUCUUUACCACUGGUUCCUCACAGUACAAAGAAGCCACUUUGAGAAGGACAUCGACGGCCUUGUGUGGAUGCAAAAUAUUCACCUGGUGAGAGGAAGGAAUAUGAUUGAGUGUGCACUGAAACAUUCUGUCAAGCUUUGGGUGCCCCUCCCACCACCACCUCUGGUAGCAGAUGUCUCCUCAUUUCUCCCAGCUGGAGAAGCUUCUCAGCAGACGGGCAUUCAAGAAAAGAUAAGACCUCUUCCUAAGGUACCACACAAAACAGCUGUUCUUUAUAUACACUCACCUGCCACCGCAUUUGGUACAUUAGGUUAUAUCUGCCUUUACAAAGAUAGUAAUGCCCAGUUUUGUAAGUCAGGUAUUCAAUUAACAGUAUGUUUAUCAUUGAGGUUGACGUGAACGGCACUGCAUCAUAAUCAGAGGUAUUUCUAAUAUUUUGACACCCUCAUGCGGAUAAGGUAACCAAAAUAUGAAAACCCUCUGAUUAUGAUCCAGUUAUACACAAACUACAACCCCAGUAAUAAACAUUAAAUUGAUUCCUUUCAGACUGAACAUGAGUGUGUUUGUAAAGGAAGAAUUGUUGGUUUGUCAUCUUACAGGACACUGGGAUUUAGAAGGACUCUCUUCAUUUGCCAUCAUUCCAUUUUCUUUAACAAAGUCGUCCUCAUUGCAACCGUUAUAGCCGUUACUCGCAUCAGCGUCAUCAUCAUCUUCAUCUUCAUGUUCUUCCUCGUCAUCAUUAUCCUCUUCAUCAGGUUCUCCCUCAUCGUCACUACAAAGAAAAAACUGUUGGAAUCAGAAUAGGUCGAAGCAAACUGCAAUUCUUUCUUUCAGUUAUUUGAAUUGAUUUUUUACAGUGGAUACAAAAAUCACACAUACUCCCCUCUCCACCCAACUCCUCCAGAAUUUUACCUGAGUGAGACUAGCAUGUCUCCUUUGUCCUGGGCCGCCAUUGCUUCCCUUAGGGCUUCACAACCCUCCUCGCCCAGGCAGUUCCCUGUCAUAGUCAGACAUUGAGACACACACAGACAUUUGGACGGACGGACACACACACACACACACACACACACACACACACACACACACACACACACACACACACGUCACACUGAGUAAAACAAAUGAAAUAAUUCCCUCUGCCUUGUUUGUUUCAUGGUUAAUGUGUCUACCGUUCAGAUCCACUUUCUCCAUGUGGGGCUUGUCCACAAGCGCCUGAGCCACCACCAGGGCCGCUGCCUCUGUGAUCUCACCAAAUGACAAAUUCAGCUCCUGUUGGCAGACAUGACAGAAUCAUGUCACGGCUGAGCUGGACAAUCACAAUUUAGAAUCUUCAAUGAAGCUAACAUGCAUGUUUUGGGAAAAUGGGAGAGUCCAGAGUACCAGGAGAAAACUCACAGGAAGACCUCAACUAAGAUUCGAACCCCGAACAUCAGAACUGUGAAACAGAUGUGCUAACCACUAGGGCAGCAUCAAAUUGGAUUACAGCACAGUUGAAAAGAAGUUGCACUACCUAGAGG
This is a long non-coding RNA of Phyllopteryx taeniolatus (common seadragon), 1823 nucleotides long. RefSeq lists it as uncharacterized. The transcript has 4 exons. NCBI's taxonomy places the organism in Eukaryota, Metazoa, Chordata, Actinopteri, Syngnathiformes, Syngnathidae. The record is from RefSeq and is a predicted model, not a curated record.